RNAcentral lists this ribosomal RNA (465 nucleotides) under Vreelandella stevensii. Its description in RNAcentral is "partial 16S ribosomal RNA". It matches the Rfam family "Bacterial small subunit ribosomal RNA", at positions 338 to 795 of the family's 1533-position model. Lineage: Bacteria; Pseudomonadati; Pseudomonadota; Gammaproteobacteria; Oceanospirillales; Halomonadaceae. The record is from RNAcentral.
CCUACGGGAGGCAGCAGUGGGGAAUAUUGGACAAUGGGCGAAAGCCUGAUCCAGCCAUGCCGCGUGUGUGAAGAAGGCCUUCGGGUUGUAAAGCACUUUCAGUGGAGAAGAAAGCCUUGGGGCUAAUACCCUCGAGGAAGGACAUCACCCACAGAAGAAGCACCGGCUAACUCCGUGCCAGCAGCCGCGGUAAUACGGAGGGUGCGAGCGUUAAUCGGAAUUACUGGGCGUAAAGCGCGCGUAGGCGGUCUGAUAAGCCGGUUGUGAAAGCCCCGGGCUCAACCUGGGAACGGCAUCCGGAACUGUCAGGCUAGAGUGCAGGAGAGGAAGGUAGAAUUCCCGGUGUAGCGGUGAAAUGCGUAGAGAUCGGGAGGAAUACCAGUGGCGAAGGCGGCCUUCUGGACUGACACUGACGCUGAGGUGCGAAAGCGUGGGUAGCAAACAGGAUUAGAUACCCGAGUAGUC